CACAAAAAGAAAAUGAUAAGGGCAGGCGCGUGGAGGUGUUUAUGUUUUCAACUCCAGCCAAUUACUUGAGACCUAAAACAACAGUUAGUGCAGAUGGAAGGGUACGGAUUAUGACGCGGACUACAAUGGAAACCCAAAUCUCCUCUUGCAGAGCGAGCCCGGCACCCAGCUGUCGUCCACUUGCAUUUAGUGUGGCUGCCACCCAGCAAUUAGCACGCCUGGGCUGUCCUUUGGAAAGGGAGCAGAGAAGAACAAUACCACAGCGAGUUCUCCUGGACCCGAAAGCAGGUAAAAGAAAUCAUUGAGUCCCCCGCCUUCAGAAGAGGGUGCAUUUUCAGGAGGAAGCGAUGGCUUCAGACAGCAUAUUUGAGUCAUUUCCUUCAUACCCACAGUGCUUCAUGAGAGGUGAGUACAUGCUGGUCUUGUAAUACCUCCUUUUGCUCAGCUUUGCCUGUAAUGAAAUGGCAGCCUGCUUCACCUCGGUGCAGAGAUACCUCGGUGCCUGCCGGGUCCCUGUCUGGUUUGUGGGAGGAAUUCAAACUGAGGCAUAUGAUUACAAGGCUAUUGGAUUACUUACUCAUCAGAUGGAAGCUCUUCAGAAAUGUUUUAAUAAAUACUUAGUUAUGCUGUUGGAGUGUUCAGUCGGUGCGUGAGAACUUUGUCAAGUGUGAGUAAGUCGUGCUGGUCUUGUUUAAAGGCUUAGAGAUUACGAAGCUUGCACGAAGCUCCCUGGGUUUUAUUUUGCUGUCCCUUGCCCAGAAUGACUGUGUCUGAGUUAUCCUGAACUCGGCAUGCUGUGUGGCCCAGAAUGCAGCCUGCCCUGGGGCUUAGCAGGCACAUGCACAGAGCCAGCCAGGAGGGCUGGUGCCAGUGUGGGGCAGGAGGUGGAGGCUCUCAGAUAGCCUUGCACCAGCCUGGGGACUUCAGGGCCAAAGUGGCAAGGCAGCUGUCUCUACAAGGCAGAGAGUACAGGAGCCUGACAGAUUUGCUUAGGUGAAAAUCACCAGCACGGGGCUGUGCUGUGUUUUUCCUUGUCGCCUCAAUGCAAACAGACGGCCAGCAUCUUUCCAGAGAGAAAGGAAGCAGACUGUGGCAUACCGAGGUCUCUCUGGAAAACGGCAAUGAAGAAGGUUCCCAAGUUAAGCAUUCUCACAGCUGAAGUCGUUAGAUUACAGGCUUCUGAAUAGGAACAGCCAGGGUGGAAAACCUGUCUCCAUUUUUGAAACCAGCCUCUUGAAAUGCACAAAGCUGUGGUUGAGCUGUGAGUGUGUGAGUGUGUGUGUGCCUGUGUGUCUUGUGUAUCUUUCGUGGUAAAAGAGGGCUGUGCUUAAACAAACAAAAAUAAUAACAUAAAAUGUCACAAAGGCAUUGCCGUGUGCGUCGGGGCACGCACUCUGACCAUUGCCUGCAAAGUGUUUCUUGAUGGUUUGGCAAAGCCGAGAUGGAGUGGGCUGGGAUAGGAGAAUAAUUAAUUUUCUGGCUACAGACUCUCUUGAGCACCCAAAUAGUAUCUGUGACUCAUUAUUUAUUCAUACAGCUAAGUGAGCAGGGGAAUGCAGAGGGCUUGCCAGUCACUUUAUCACAGCAAAUGCUAUUGUGAAUGCACAGGGCUCUAUGUUUCCGGGUCCCUGAUAUUAAAAAACUUGACGAGAGAGAGAGAGAGAGGGUGUGUGUGUGUGUGUGUGUGUGUGUGUUGGGGAUGGCAAGAGAGAAGUUAAAGGGAAAGAGAAGAAAGCAAGUCAUUAACCAGCUCAAGUUUCAAAUUAAAGAGUUUUCAAGUGCUUCUUUACUGGCAGCAGAGGGAAUUUUAGUGAAGUUGAAUCAUGCAGACAUGCAUUAGUCACUAGUCUUGCAGCGUCGUUCGGUUGGUAACACAGACACACCGGCCACUGGUAAAGAGCUGCAAACGGCUCCCUGGCUGCAUUUCCUCUGGGCUGCUAACAAGCAGAGGAAGCAAUAUUUGUUGAAUAACAGAAAGAAAGAUCUUCCUGACUUUACUCCACUUUCAAUACCCCCUCGGAACGUGUAUUGUUUCCUAUUUUAUCAACUCAGGAAGGCAGAUUCAGGAAAUUUUUAAGCAUUCCAUUGAGCAAUAGGUUGGAUUUCAGUGUGCAGUGCUGGCCCCUGGGCUCUCCUUACUGGCCAACAGCAAAGAUGGUGAGGGACACGGUGACCCGUGCAGACAUCAGGAAAUAGCAGGAGUGCCGCUGUCUCCCAGACAAGCCCAGGGCUCCUAUGCCCAGUGGACACUCCGCUGACCUGCCCUUGAUUAGGAACGAAGGUCGGUUAUUUUUCACGGGGGCAGUGUAGGGAGGGCCUGAGCUCACACCAAGACUCAAAAGGGCUAAUCUGGAAAGGUUUUUCCACUCCUUCCUUUCAGUGAAAGGAACUCAGGGUUCUUUAGAAUCUCUAAUUUGAUAAUAUAAUAUUGAGAUUUGCUAUCAGAGGGCCGGGUGAAAUCUUGGCAAUUUCCUGGUGAAUUUCAUCCAAGUGAUCCAUCAACAGAAAGGUUUAAAUUGUCCAGGUUAGCUGUCCACAUCAUUCACCGGAGCCAGAGAGGUGGCAAAAUAUCAUUUCUUUUGGUACCGUUUGGUCAUCGUCUUAGAGCCUGAUGCUAGAAGAACCACCAUCCCUGCCAACAAAUGGCUCUCCCCCAGAGUUCUCAGCCUGUUGCCAUAGC
Molecule: long non-coding RNA, 2680 nt
Filed under: Macaca fascicularis (crab-eating macaque)
Lineage: Eukaryota; Metazoa; Chordata; Mammalia; Primates; Cercopithecidae
Description: lncRNA (ENSMFAG00000062085.1)
Source: RNAcentral